RNAcentral lists this ribosomal RNA (301 nucleotides) under uncultured bacterium. RNAcentral's name for it is "partial 16S ribosomal RNA". It matches the Rfam family "Bacterial small subunit ribosomal RNA", at positions 509 to 808 of the family's 1533-position model. The record is from RNAcentral.
CAGUCGCCGCGGGAAUACGUAGGUCCCGAGCGUUGUCCGGAUUUAUUGGGCGUAAAGCGAGCGCAGGCGGUUAGAUAAGUCUGAAGUUAAAGGCUGUGGCUUAACCAUAGUACGCUUUGGAAACUGUUUAACUUGAGUGCAAGAGGGGAGAGUGGAAUUCCAUGUGUAGCGGUGAAAUGCGUAGAUAUAUGGAGGAACACCGGUGGCGAAAGCGGCUCUCUGGCUUGUAACUGACGCUGAGGCUCGAAAGCGUGGGGAGCAAACAGGAUUAGAUACCCGUGUAGUCCCUGUCUCUUAUACA